UGAACGCUGGCGGCGUGCCUAAUACAUGCAAGUCGAGCGAACGGACGAGAAGCUUGCUUCUCUGAUGUUAGCGGCGGACGGGUGAGUAACACGUGGAUAACCUACCUAUAAGACUGGGAUAACUUCGGGAAACCGGAGCUAAUACCGGAUAAUAUUUUGAACCGCAUGGUUCAAAAGUGAAAGACGGUCUUGCUGUCACUUAUAGAUGGAUCCGCGCUGCAUUAGCUAGUUGGUAAGGUAACGGCUUACCAAGGCAACGAUGCAUAGCCGACCUGAGAGGGUGAUCGGCCACACUGGAACUGAGACACGGUCCAGACUCCUACGGGAGGCAGCAGUAGGGAAUCUUCCGCAAUGGGCGAAAGCCUGACGGAGCAACGCCGCGUGAGUGAUGAAGGUCUUCGGAUCGUAAAACUCUGUUAUUAGGGAAGAACAUAUGUGUAAGUAACUGUGCACAUCUCGACGGUACCUAAUCAGAAAGCCACGGCUAACUACGUGCCAGCAGCCGCGGUAAUACGUAGGUGGCAAGCGUUAUCCGGAAUUAUUGGGCGUAAAGCGCGCGUAGGCGGUUUUUUAAGUCUGAUGUGAAAGCCCACGGCUCAACCGUGGAGGGUCAUUGGAAACUGGAAAACUUGAGUGCAGAAGAGGAAAGUGGAAUUCCAUGUGUAGCGGUGAAAUGCGCAGAGAUAUGGAGGAACACCAGUGGCGAAGGCGACUUUCUGGUCUGUAACUGACGCUGAUGUGCGAAAGCGUGGGGAUCAAACAGGAUUAGAUACCCUGGUAGUCCACGCCGUAAACGAUGAGUGCUAAGUGUUAGGGGGUUUCCGCCCCUUAGUGCUGCAGCUAACGCAUUAAGCACUCCGCCUGGGGAGUACGACCGCAAGGUUGAAACUCAAAGGAAUUGACGGGGACCCGCACAAGCGGUGGAGCAUGUGGUUUAAUUCGAAGCAACGCGAAGAACCUUACCAAAUCUUGACAUCCUUUGACAACUCUAGAGAUAGAGCCUUCCCCUUCGGGGGACAAAGUGACAGGUGGUGCAUGGUUGUCGUCAGCUCGUGUCGUGAGAUGUUGGGUUAAGUCCCGCAACGAGCGCAACCCUUAAGCUUAGUUGCCAUCAUUAAGUUGGGCACUCUAAGUUGACUGCCGGUGACAAACCGGAGGAAGGUGGGGAUGACGUCAAAUCAUCAUGCCCCUUAUGAUUUGGGCUACACACGUGCUACAAUGGACAAUACAAAGGGCAGCGAAACCGCGAGGUCAAGCAAAUCCCAUAAAGUUGUUCUCAGUUCGGAUUGUAGUCUGCAACUCGACUACAUGAAGCUGGAAUCGCUAGUAAUCGUAGAUCAGCAUGCUACGGUGAAUACGUUCCCGGGUCU
Molecule: ribosomal RNA, 1370 nt
Filed under: uncultured bacterium
Lineage: Bacteria
Description: 16S ribosomal RNA
Rfam family: Bacterial small subunit ribosomal RNA
Source: RNAcentral